This is an RNA transcript of Vitis riparia (riverbank grape), 4225 nucleotides long. RefSeq lists it as uncharacterized. The transcript is spliced from 5 exons. The record is from RefSeq and is a predicted model, not a curated record. Lineage: Eukaryota; Viridiplantae; Streptophyta; Magnoliopsida; Vitales; Vitaceae.
GAAAAAAUAAAAAUAAAAAUAAAAAUAAAAAGCUCCUCUCAAAAGGCACUCCAACAGCCAUUCCAUGUCCAUGGCCUCCUCCUCCUCCACAGCCUCCGGCGGUCUCCACCUGGAGGCGUUGCCACUCAUCGAUCUCCGCUUCCUUUCCCAAUCAGAACUCCAGGCCCUCUCUCUUACUUCUUCACACUCCUCCGAUCUCCGCCGCUGCGACGACGUUGUCAUCCCCAAAAUUGACCGCUCCAUCUUCAAUGAAAGUGCCGGUAGCCGAAAACAGACAUACUCCCGCCUCCGCCUCGCCCCUCGCAAGCCCGAUAUCGCUGCCACCAUUCCCCGCCGGCCCAGAUUCUCGCCCCACCUUAACCAGAAAGCUGCCCUUGAGCCCGUCGAUGAAGAAAACUCCUUAAUUAUCGGACUCCUUAAAGGCUUGUUCGCUACCGAGACUCACGCCGAUGACCUAAUCCCGGUUCAAGUCGAAUAUAGGGAAUCGUCUAAUGAGAUUUUGCAAAAUAUUCCCAUUGAUGUUGUUGCCGACAGUGGGAGGAAGAGGAAGCGAGGGCGACCCAAGAGCGAGAAGACGAUAGCUGUUUAUCAGAAUGGUGGAAGCGGUGAAGGUGGGGGUAUGGGGAUUAUAAAUAAUAAUGGUGUCGUCGUAGAUGUUGCGGCUUUGGCGAAUGCGGAGGACCCUUUUGGUCCGGAAUUGAGGAGGAGGACAGAGGGUUUGACCACAGAGGAAGAGUUGUUAGGGUUCUUGACGGGUCUGAGUGGGCAAUGGGGGAGUAGGAGGAAGAAGAGGAAGAUUGUGGAGGCAAGUGAUUUCGGAGAUGUAUUGCCCCAGGGUUGGAAGCUUUUGCUCUCUAUGAAGAGGAAAGAAGGCCGCGUCUGGUUAUUCUGUCGCAGAUACAUAAGCCCUAAUGGGCAGCAGUUUGUGUCCUGCAAGGAAGUUUCUUCAUGUUUGCUUUCUUUGUCUGGACUCCAAGAUGCAAGACAGCCAAAUUAUGGUCACAAUGAUGAGAAUAGUCAACUUGCCCAUCAAAUUUCUCCUGGAAAUGCAGCUGGUCUUACCCUCAAAGAUGACAAGAGUAAGGAUGGUCUUGUUUGCUCUUCACCAUCAACCGUUACUACUAUACCUACUUAUCAUGAGAAGCAAGCCACCUUAUUGAACAUGGGUAAUUCAUGGGAGGUCAAAGUGGGGGAAAUUUUGAAAUGCCAUAAAUGUGCCAUGACAUUUGAUGAGAAGGAUGAUUUAUUGCACCACCUAUCAUCAUCUCACAAUGGGACUGCAAAUAGCUGUAAACUCAGUUCAUCCAUCUGCAAUGAGGUGAUAAUGAAAGAGGGAAAAUAUGAAUGUCGGUUCUGCCAUGAGAUAUUCCAUGAAGAGAAUGGUUACAAUCGCCAUGUUGAGAUCCACACAAAAACAUCUGUUAAGAACGCUGAAACAUCAGUGCUAAAUAGUGAUCCCACUCCCUUGGAUGGACUUGUCAGUGAUUCUAUUGAGAAAACUACAAAUGGCCAAGCCAAUGAUGGAAUGAGUUUUGGUCUUACCCAUAAGACACCAAAAGCAGAUUCUAUUAAAGAAACUCAUAUUGGCAAAUCCAAUAAUUCUUUCUUUCAUAUGGGGCAGCACUUUGAGGUGACCCAAAAUGAUGGAACUUUUGCUGACGAAUCUGUUGACGAGCAGGAUAAAGAUUGUAAUACAAGAAAUGAUAGACUGGGGAAGGUGCAUGAGGCUCCUGAUAUUUUAGCUGCUAAAACUAGUCUUGCUGAAGCUGCCUUGUCCACAAGUGAGGAUAGAAGUAUUCAGAAAGCUUCCAAUGAGUCAAAUGUUCUCAAAUGCCCCACAGAUGGAAUCAAUGAAUUAUGUGGCAGCGAGGAAAGAAUUUCUGAAAGUUAUUCAGUUGCUCCUUCUGAAAAUCAGCAAACAUGCGAGGUUGAAGACAAUGUGCAUGGUGCUUCCACUAGCUUAAAGAAAGAGCUCAGGCAGGAGAUAAGUUAUGAAAGUGGUCUAGCUACUCCAAAUGAUAAAGGAGAGACAUGUGCUGAAAUUGCCGAGGAUAGGCUUUUUACUAGCACAAUCAAAGAGAUGAAAAUUGACUGCAAGGAUGAAUUUGGGCAACAUGAGCCAAUAUUUGAUUUUGACAAUUGUGCUACAUAUGGUAAAGAUAUUGCAAUUAAUGUCAAGCAGCAAAGAGUUUCUGAAGACUGCCAUUUGCCUGUUCCUUUCCCAAACGAGCAAAAAUGUGGUUUUGUUAAUAAUAUGAAUGGAGUUUUAUCUCCUCCCAUAGUGGAGUCCAAUCAGCAAAGAUGUUCUAAAAGCGUCACUCUAUCUGGCAAUAACCAGACAUAUGAUGUCAACAAUAAUGGCAGUUGGGUUUCUACUGGCACUGGCAGGCCUAGAGUUGAAGCGGACAACUCUGGGAAUAAUGAACUAACAUUUGGCUUUGGUAGCAAUCACCCUCAGCCUAAUGAGGAUGCUGUGACCUGUAUUGAGUGGGGAAUAAGUUCUGGAAGCUGUUCUCUUGUUUCAUCCUGGAAGGAUCAAACAUGCUUUAAAAAUAACACCAAUUGGGUUUCUGCUUGCACAAAACCCCUGCAGGAAAAAGGUUCUGAAAGUGGUGCUCUCACUCCAUCUUGUAAGGAACAAAUAUGGGGCGUUGAAAAUAAUGGGAAUAAGUUUUCUAUUGGCACAAUGGAUAAGCUCAAAUUUGAUGAAAUAAACAACUCUAGGAAUAGUGAGCUAAUCAUUACUUCUGGCAACAUGAGCAACACUGGAGUAGGUAUGGAUGUUGUGACAAGUGUUCAGAAGCAAAGAGGAUCUGAAGGUUAUUUAUCUAUUCUUUCUAAGAAUGAGCAAAAAAUUGGUGCUGAAAGUCCUGUUACUGGGUUUUGCAAUAGUGCAGUGGCAGAGCUCAAACUGGGAGGACAUUCUGAGAGUGGAUUUUGUAUUCAAUCUGAUGGUGAGCAAAAAUGCGGCAUUGGUAAUGAUUUGAAGAGGGUUUAUCCUGGAAGAUUCUGGGAGGUUCCAAGACUUAGGGAAGUAGAAAAUCCUAGUAAUACUGAGCUGAUGAUUGGUUUCGGCGGCAGUCAUGCCCAACCUGGUCAGGACGUCAUGGCUGAGGUUAUGUGGAGAAGUGAUGAAGAAAAUGUGCUGCAGAGUGCUUUAGGCAAUUCUUCAUCUUCAAUGGUGCUUUCAUCCAGUUGCUUUCCCACGUUUGACGUAAUCUCAGAUAAGGGGUUAAAUGGACUCUGUACUGCAAAUGAGAAGUUCAACACUGAUAGCAUAGAAAAUCUGAAAUUCAGUUCUCUGACUGCACAAAGAAACUCUCUUUCAGAAGAUUCCAAAGUAUUGUCAUAUGAUGCAGGGAUGGAACAAGGGUUCAAUUCUUCUGAAUGGCUUGAAAAGGAAACUUUGUUGCCAAAAGUAGCUGGGAGGCAUCUGGUUGCCGCAUUAUGCAUCUGGUGCAGAAAUGAGUUCCAUCAUGAGAAUGUUGGCAAUGCAACACAAACAGGUUCAACUGGUUUAAUGUGUCCAACCUGCAAGGUUAAGUUCUCAGGGGAACUCAAUUUAUUCUAGAAUGGCUUAACUCUGAACAUUCCUGCUCCCAAACUUGCUUCCAUUAUUCCUGAUCGUCGUUAUGGAUAAGAUUCCAGAUGUGAGAUGGAAGACAGAUACAUGUAUGGUAGUUCCAAGCUAAAGAGGCAAGGCUUGCAGUUCUGGUACGGCUCUUUUUUGUUUCUUGCUGGGGAUCGACUUAUCACAUUCCCUUUGUUUUUUCUUUUGUUUCCAUUUAAAUGAUUUCUCUCAUCCGCACACUGACCAUAAUUUGUGUUGCAAAUUUCCAAUAUAAUGUGGAAGUCCAUUUUCUGUCCUCAAAAGAGGGGAACAGGAAAGGCAACUUGGACGAGCAAUCAGCUUGUAGGUCGCUUUUGUUUCUUCAAUUAUCAGGGCUGCAUUAAGUUUUUCUCUUUAAUUUUGGACCACCCAGAAAGGGAGAGGAUACUUUCAUGAUGGGGACCAAAUGGCAGACACAAUAACACUUUGUUUUCACCCUCAACAAAAUCGUAGGCAUUUACAACUUAUCCAAUCACUGCUGCACCACUAGACUUAUAGAAUUGGAGCUAAUUUGUAAUUUCUUUACUACUGGCCAACUUUGCCAUCUUGUUUCACCGAUGAUGACCUCAAUCAAUGAAAUGAAAUCCUAGCUUCUCAGGAAGUGAAGCAUUGAAA